AGACAUUGUCAUUUUCGGGAAAAAAAAAAAAAGGCAGGAUGUUGUAAUACAAGUAUUUAGAUUUAACUGUAUUAUAAAAUUAGUGCUGAAUGAUAGAUAAAAUCCCAUACUAUUUCAUAUUUUCAAUCUUGUUUUUUAUCAGACAUCACAACAGCUCACGACUAUAUAAAUUCUAUUUUCCUAGAAAAAAAUUUGGAAGCCUAAAUCUACUUUAAUGAGAAUUUUACAAUACUUUUAUCCCUUUCAUUCACUGGACUUUUUAAUACUUCAGAAUUAAAGGAAAUCUUUGUUGAAAAGAGUCCUUUUCUAAGUUUUAUGAUUGGCUUAUAAUAUGGUUAUUCAUUCAUUUGUACAAAAGUAUAUGAACUGGGUAUAAAAUCAAAUGAAAU
This 389-nucleotide long non-coding RNA is filed under the name Bos taurus (domestic cattle). RNAcentral's name for it is "long non-coding RNA NONBTAT011118". The record is from RNAcentral. Lineage: Eukaryota; Metazoa; Chordata; Mammalia; Artiodactyla; Bovidae.